RNAcentral lists this ribosomal RNA (253 nucleotides) under uncultured bacterium. RNAcentral's name for it is "partial 16S ribosomal RNA". It matches the Rfam family "Bacterial small subunit ribosomal RNA", at positions 524 to 776 of the family's 1533-position model. The record is from RNAcentral.
UACGUAGGGUGCGAGCGUUAAUCGGAAUUACUGGGCGUAAAGCGUGCGCAGGCGGUGAUGUAAGACCGAUGUGAAAUCCCCGGGCUUAACCUGGGAACUGCGUUUCUAACUGGCAGGCUUGAGUGUGGCAGAGGGGGGUGGAAUUCCACGUGUAGCAGUGAAAUGCGUAGAGAUGUGGAGGAACACCGAUGGCGAAGGCAGCCCCCUGGGCUAACACUGACGCUCAUGCACGAAAGCGUGGGGAGCAAACAGG